Molecule: long non-coding RNA, 2021 nt
Filed under: Vitis vinifera (wine grape)
Lineage: Eukaryota; Viridiplantae; Streptophyta; Magnoliopsida; Vitales; Vitaceae
Description: long non-coding RNA (VVIN_LNC000366)
Source: RNAcentral
GGUCAUUUCACACCUCAAACCCGAAGGCUUAAAGUAUAAUCUGACCCAAACAAUCAUAUUGUAACUGGAUGUUACCAAUUACCAAAUACCUGCUCAGAGUAGUGGAAACAAAAUCUAAAAUCCUUAAAGUUCAAUUUCCAAAUAACUUCCAAAUACCAAAUGAUCCAAAAUAACAUAACUAAUAGUUAAACAAAAUCCAACAUAAAAUCCUAAGUCAAAUCCUAAUGAUGACCAUUCCUCAGCCUAGCCAUCACUCCUCACCCGAACUAAGAGUACCUGAAAAAUUUUCAACAACUGGGAAUGAGCUCACAGCCCAAUAAGGAAUAUUAAUGCAAUUCAUGGAUCAAAUAUUUUCAUUUCAAAUAGGAGAUAUCAUUUUUUUUUUUCUCAUCAAAUAUCAGAGUUUCAAAAAUACCAAUAUAUUCAAAUUUCAACCAACCAAUUUCAUAUCAAAUUCAAACACUUUCACAUAAAAUUCAAUCAAAUCCAUUCAAGUUUCAUUACUCUGGUUAUCAAAUGUCAAAUGCCCAGUUAGGUGGGACUUUUCAAAUGGGUGGCUAGCCUCAAAUUGUUCCUGGUGGACGGAACCAAACACUACUAGUACUAGUAACCUCUAACCAAACCCCUAGAGGCUGGGGUCCAAAUCAAUUACAUUCCCACCAUGAAAUGUAAAGGUCAACUAUUAUAUCCCGUUGACAGGGCCGAAUAGUCAACUAUUAUAUCCCGUUGACAAGGGCCAAAUAAACCAGAGUGAUGUUUUUGUCCAAGUAUUCAAAUUUACACAACAUAAUAUCUCCAUAUUUUGUGUCAUAAAUAAAACAAAAUAUUCCAACAUAACAUUUAGUGCAAAACAAUUUGAUCCAUGCAUGGUAACAAAAUAUCAUUUUAUUUUCCACAAUUCAAAAUAACAUAUGAAAUAAUUUAAUUUUAUAAAUAUUACAUUAACUUCCCUUACCUCAAAAGAAGUCCUCAAAAACUUUGGAGAAAAAUAAUCCUUAAAAUCUACUCUUCACCUAACAAAACAUAAGAGGAACAAUUAUUACUAUUUAUUUAUAAUUUAACUAAUCUAUUCCUUAUUUAAAUAAAACUAAUAAAUUCUCAAUUUGUUUCUAAUAACACAUUACUAAUUUAAUUAAAUUAUAACUUUAUUUCGUUAUAAAAUUCUAUAUAUAUAUUGCUAAAUCUCUUAUUCUAUUUAUUACAAAAAUACCAUUAUUACUAUUAUCUUAUUUAUAAAUCUAAAACUAAAUAUUAUUAUUUAAUUAACCAAUUCCAAACCACUCAACCUCGGGUACACCAAACCAAAAAGCAAAAUUAUUUUUUAUUUUUUAUUUUUUUUUUCAUUGCCCUCAUGAUCCAUUAUAUACAUAUAUAUAUAUAUAUAUAUAUAAAAGAGCUUCCGGGCACACGCCCCUUUUGCUUUUCUUUAUAUAUAUAUAUAUAUAUAUAUAUAUAAAAGGGGGGCUUCCGGCACACGCCUUUUUUUUUUUUUUUUUUUUUUUUUCAUGCUUCCAGUAGCACAGUGCACACGCCCUUUUUCUUUUUUUUCUUUUUUUUUUUUCCAUGCUUCCGGUAGCACAGUGCACGUACGCCCUUUAUUUUUAUUUUUAUUUUUAUAAUAAAAUUAACCCUAACCUAAAAUCGAAACUUUCCAAGAAUUUUUUUUUUUUUUUUUUCAUCUAAUAAAACUUAAUAUCUCCCAAAUUCCAAUAAUAAAAUCAAAAUCUUAGAUUUUCACUGUUUGAUAUUAAAACGAAUUAAAAAAAAAUAAUCUAACCCUAAUCUAGAUUUGGGGUUUUCCAAAAAAAUAUAUCUAAUGCUUGAAAUUAACUAAUGAAUCUAAAAUAAUAAUCUAGGGGUUAGAAACUUACCUAUAGAGAUCUGUUCUUCAACCCUGAAAUCUGACUCCAACCUUACGUUCUCUGGAAUUCUGCGAACAGGAACUCUAUUCAGAAAAGAAGGGAAAGAAUAAAAUUUCUAAUUUAUACCUAGGGUAUUUAUUCGUAAAAUUACACUUUUAC